Violaceomyces palustris is the source of this 113-nucleotide non-coding RNA. NCBI's taxonomy places the organism in Eukaryota, Fungi, Basidiomycota, Ustilaginomycetes, Violaceomycetales, Violaceomycetaceae. The record is from the annotation of a GenBank genome assembly.
GGCAAGUUGGCCGAGUGGUCUAAGGCGCAGUGUUAAGGAUAUCCUUGAGAAAAGAAGUUCUGACAGAGUUUUCCCGCUGUCUUCGGGCGUGGGUUCGAAUCCCACACUUGUCA